AACGCACCUUGCACUCCUUGGUAUUCCGAGGAGUAUGCCUGUUUGAGUGUCUGACAUUCAUCAAUCCUCCUUUACUUUUGUAAUGGUUGGCUUGGAUUUGGGGAUUGCUGGCCUUUCAUUAGGUCUGGCUUCCCUUGAAUGCAUUAGUUGAAUUGACUUGCAACGCUAUGUGUGGUGUGAUAAUAUCUUCACUGCAUAGUUGUAAUGAAGUUUGGCUUAUAACCGUCUUUCAUUAGACAAUUUUGACCAUUAGACCUCAAAUCAGGUAGGACUACCCGCUGAACUUAA
This 288-nucleotide unclassified non-coding RNA is filed under the name uncultured Corticiaceae. RNAcentral describes it as "sequence contains ITS2". The stretch from base 1 to 52 matches the Rfam family "5.8S ribosomal RNA", at positions 103 to 154 of the family's 154-position model. The record is from RNAcentral. Lineage: Eukaryota; Fungi; Basidiomycota; Agaricomycetes; Corticiales; Corticiaceae.